Molecule: long non-coding RNA, 218 nt
Filed under: Carica papaya (papaya)
Lineage: Eukaryota; Viridiplantae; Streptophyta; Magnoliopsida; Brassicales; Caricaceae
Description: long non-coding RNA (CPAP_LNC006907)
Source: RNAcentral
GUCACUUGUGGAGUCAGAAUCGAUUAGUUCAUAUUUAUCUUAGUUCAUACUAGUAGAAUUACACACAGAAAGAGACCACUUAGGAAAUAGAAUCGAACUUCAAAGUACAGUACCCUCAAUUGUUUAACUAAAUGAGAGAGUAACAAAUUUAAGAGACCAAAUUUUUCUCAAGGAGGGAGAGUAGUAAUGCCCAGGCUCGAAAAUCGGCCUGUGAUGAU